CAGGACGAACGCUGGCGGCGUGCCUAACACAUGCAAGUCGAGCGGGGACAUACGACGGAGUCAAAGUUUCGGAUGGAGACGAAGAUGUAUGUUCUAGCGGCGGACGGGUGAGUAACGCGUGAGCAGCCUGUCCCUUACAGGGGGAUAACACAGCGAAAGUUGUACUAAUACCGCAUGAGACCACGGGAGGACAUCCUCCAGGGGUCAAAGGAGCAAUCCGGUAAGGGGUGGGCUCGCGUCCGAUUAGAUAGUUGGUGAGGUAACGGCCCACCAAGUCGACGAUCGGUAGCCGACCUGAGAGGGUGAUCGGCCACAUUGGGACUGAGACACGGCCCAAACUCCUACGGGAGGCAGCAGUGGGGAAUAUUGGGCAAUGGGGGGAAACCCUGACCCAGCAACGCCGCGUGAGGGAAGAAGGUUUUCGGAUCGUAAACCUCUGUCCUUGGUGAAGAGGAAGAGACGGUAGCCAAGGAGGAAGCCCCGGCUAACUACGUGCCAGCCGCAGC
Molecule: ribosomal RNA, 506 nt
Filed under: uncultured bacterium
Lineage: Bacteria
Description: bacterial SSU rRNA
Rfam family: Bacterial small subunit ribosomal RNA
Source: RNAcentral